This 360-nucleotide ribosomal RNA is filed under the name Triticum aestivum (bread wheat). Its description in RNAcentral is "partial small subunit ribosomal RNA". Lineage: Eukaryota; Viridiplantae; Streptophyta; Magnoliopsida; Poales; Poaceae. The record is from RNAcentral.
AUGCAAGACUACUUCUCGGACAAUCCUACGUAUCCGCCGCAGCCCUUCUGGAGAAGGUAUCGAAUGUGUCGAUCCCUCUUUGUAAAAAUAGUGCAAGCUUGUGAGGCCAAUUGUCAGUUUUUUACUCAAAGGAGAAACGCCGCAGGCUUGUUGGGUUUUGGCGCAUAUCAAAAAAUCUCGGCAACUAUGCGAGUGAUUUCAUAUGGCAUUCCGGCUGACUAUACCGACGAGUAUCUUCGCCAAUCAAUUGAGUCGGUGCAUAGGUUCGGCAAAGUGAUCAUUCGCGUUUUUGGUCCUGUCUAUCUUCGUGCACCCAACGAAGAAGACACUAAAAAGUUGAUGGCAGCAAAUGAGAAGUGA